Molecule: ribosomal RNA, 466 nt
Filed under: uncultured bacterium
Lineage: Bacteria
Description: partial 16S ribosomal RNA
Rfam family: Bacterial small subunit ribosomal RNA
Source: RNAcentral
GACGAACGCUGGCGGCGUGCUUAACACAUGCAAGUCGAACGGAAAGGCCCUGCUUUUGUGGGGUGCUCGAGUGGCGAACGGGUGAGUAACACGUGAGUAACCUGCCCUUGACUUUGGGAUAACUUCAGGAAACUGGGGCUAAUACCGGAUAGGAGCUCCUGCUGCAUGGUGGGGGUUGGAAAGUUUCGGCGGUUGGGGAUGGACUCGCGGCUUAUCAGCUUGUUGGUGGGGUAGUGGCUUACCAAGGCUUUGACGGGUAGCCGGCCUGAGAGGGUGACCGGCCACAUGGGGACUGAGAUACGGCCGAGACUCCUACGGGGGGCAGCAGGGGGGAAUAUUGCACAAGGGGCGGAAGCCUGAUGCAGCACCGCCGCGUGCGGGAUGACGGCCUUCGGGUUGUAAACCGCUUUCGCCUGUGACGAAGCGUGAGUGACGGUAAGGGGUAAAGAAGCACCGGCUAACUACG